CAGUAGCCACGGUAAUACAGAGGGUGCGAGCGUUAAUCGGAUUUACUGGGCGUAAAGCGUGCGUAGGCGGCUUUUUAAGUCGGAUGUGAAAUCCCUGAGCUUAACUUAGGAAUUGCAUUCGAUACUGGGAAGCUAGAGUAUGGGAGAGGAUGGUAGAAUUCCAGGUGUAGCGGUGAAAUGCGUAGAGAUCUGGAGGAAUACCGAUGGCGAAGGCAGCCAUCUGGCCUAAUACUGACGCUGAGGUACGAAAGCAUGGGGAGCAAACAGGAUUAGAUACCCCGGUAGUCCCUGUCUCUUAUAC
This 301-nucleotide ribosomal RNA is filed under the name uncultured bacterium. RNAcentral describes it as "partial 16S ribosomal RNA". It matches the Rfam family "Bacterial small subunit ribosomal RNA", at positions 509 to 807 of the family's 1533-position model. The record is from RNAcentral.